Molecule: ribosomal RNA, 508 nt
Filed under: uncultured bacterium
Lineage: Bacteria
Description: partial 16S ribosomal RNA
Rfam family: Bacterial small subunit ribosomal RNA
Source: RNAcentral
GAUGAACGCUAGCUACAGGCUUAACACAUGCAAGUCGAGGGGAAACGAUAUUGGAAGCCUGCUUCCGAUAGGCGUCGACCGGCGCACGGGUGAGUAACGCGUAUCCAACCUGCCCACCACUUGGGGAUAACCUUGCGAAAGUAAGACUAAUACCCAAUGACGUCCAUAGAAGACAUCUGACAUGGAUUAAAGAUUUAUCGGUGAUGGAUGGGGAUGCGUCUGAUUAGCUUGUUGGCGGGGUAACGGCCCACCAAGGCCACGAUCAGUAGGGGUUAUGAGAGGAAGGUCCCCCACAUUGGAACUGAGACACGGUCCAAACUCCUACGGGAGGCAGCAGUGAGGAAUAUGGGUCAAUGGGCGAGAGCCUGAACCAGCCAAGUAGCGUGCAGGAUGACGGCCCUAUGGGUUGUAAACUGCUUUUAUAAGGGAAUAAAGUGAGUCUCGUGAGGCUUUUUGCAUGUACCUUAUGAAUAAGGACCGGCUAAUUCCGUGCCAGCAGCCGCCGUAA